GUUUAAUUAAGCAGUUGUUUCCUGAUCCUCACCAACGCCGUCCCCGCUUCGAAUUCCCUGGAUCCACCGGGGCUGGACCCCGUGGGAAUACCCUCAUCACAGCUGACUUGGAACCUUGGUGUGAAGAUGGAACAAGGCAGAGAAUGUGAAGUUGCUGCAUCUGAGGAUAAAGGAGAGGAUUAAGAUGUUAGCAACUGUGAAACAGAAGGGAGAAGACAGGAAGGAGACUUUAUUAAGGAUGAAAAAUGGCUGCGAUUUUGAAAACAGUCUUGUUGACAGAAUGGUUGCUGAGAGAUUUAGAACCAAUAGACCCUAUAGAACCACCUAUCUUUAUCCAUGAUGCUGCCAGAUCUUACCUUCACUGAGUCAAGAAUGAGCAGAGAUGUCUAUAGGAUGGAUAUGUGUGUGUUGGAACAGACAGUAUAAAACUCAAGUUCUAUAUUACUUCCUCUCCUUAGUGUCAACUCAGUCCUCAUCACUAAUCUGAGUUAAACCAGUGGAAGCAGUGACAGAUUUUAUUUUCUUGGGCUCCAAAGUCACUGCAGAUGCUGAC
This is a long non-coding RNA of Bos taurus (domestic cattle), 553 nucleotides long. The record is from Ensembl. Lineage: Eukaryota; Metazoa; Chordata; Mammalia; Artiodactyla; Bovidae.